AGUCUCUCCAACCCAGCGAGUAUUAGGGGCGGGGGUGGGGUGGGGGAGUAAGCCGGGGUAGCCGGGAGCUGCGGUGCAGGAAGUGAACCGCAUUGUGUGGUGGUGGCUCACACUAGUGCCCUGAGGACCGGCCCACUUCCUCGCCUAAAUUUUGCACAUGGAGUCUGAUCUCACUGAAGACCGUCUCUCCGAGCUAACAAUAGAGCCCCUCGGUUUGUCAGAAAAAGAAGAAGAAGAAGAAGAAGAAGAAGAAGAAGAAAAGAAGAAGAAGAAGAAGAAGAGGAUGAGGAGGAGGAGGAGGAGGAAGAGGAGGAGGAGGAAGAGGAGGAAGAGGAAGAGGAAGAAGAGGAAGAUGCUUCUGGGCUCUCCUGGCUUCAUGGGGGAUGUAAUUCUUAUGCUACGAAGUUCACCAUUUUAAGGCCUUCAAUAUUAAACAUCAUCUCCACCAUGAAACCAAGGAGUACCCUUCUCUUGCUCAUGAUGGUAUCCCUUCCACAUAGUCUGGCCUACAGUAGUUACUCAAUAAAGUUUGACUUAAUUGCAUGCUUGAAUAAAAA
Molecule: long non-coding RNA, 557 nt
Filed under: Mus musculus (house mouse)
Lineage: Eukaryota; Metazoa; Chordata; Mammalia; Rodentia; Muridae
Description: RIKEN cDNA 4930511P09 gene (4930511P09Rik)
Source: RNAcentral